This 1133-nucleotide ribosomal RNA is filed under the name Escherichia coli. RNAcentral's name for it is "partial 23S ribosomal RNA". It matches the Rfam family "Bacterial large subunit ribosomal RNA", at positions 38 to 1212 of the family's 2925-position model. Lineage: Bacteria; Pseudomonadati; Pseudomonadota; Gammaproteobacteria; Enterobacterales; Enterobacteriaceae. The record is from RNAcentral.
AGUCAGAGGCGAUGAAGGACGUGCUAAUCUGCGAUAAGCGUCGGUAAGGUGAUAUGAACCGUUAUAACCGGCGAUUUCCGAAUGGGGAAACCCAGUGUGUUUCGACACACUAUCAUUAACUGAAUCCAUAGGUUAAUGAGGCGAACCGGGGGAACUGAAACAUCUAAGUACCCCGAGGAAAAGAAAUCAACCGAGAUUCCCCCAGUAGCGGCGAGCGAACGGGGAGCAGCCCAGAGCCUGAAUCAGUGUGUGUGUUAGUGGAAGCGUCUGGAAAGGCGCGCGAUACAGGGUGACAGCCCCGUACACAAAAAUGCACAUGCUGUGAGCUCGAUGAGUAGGGCGGGACACGUGGUAUCCUGUCUGAAUAUGGGGGGACCAUCCUCCAAGGCUAAAUACUCCUGACUGACCGAUAGUGAACCAGUACCGUGAGGGAAAGGCGAAAAGAACCCCGGCGAGGGGAGUGAAAAAGAACCUGAAACCGUGUACGUACAAGCAGUGGGAGCACGCUUAGGCGUGUGACUGCGUACCUUUUGUAUAAUGGGUCAGCGACUUAUAUUCUGUAGCAAGGUUAACCGAAUAGGGGAGCCGAAGGGAAACCGAGUCUUAACUGGGCGUUAAGUUGCAGGGUAUAGACCCGAAACCCGGUGAUCUAGCCAUGGGCAGGUUGAAGGUUGGGUAACACUAACUGGAGGACCGAACCGACUAAUGUUGAAAAAUUAGCGGAUGACUUGUGGCUGGGGGUGAAAGGCCAAUCAAACCGGGAGAUAGCUGGUUCUCCCCGAAAGCUAUUUAGGUAGCGCCUCGUGAAUUCAUCUCCGGGGGUAGAGCACUGUUUCGGCAAGGGGGUCAUCCCGACUUACCAACCCGAUGCAAACUGCGAAUACCGGAGAAUGUUAUCACGGGAGACACACGGCGGGUGCUAACGUCCGUCGUGAAGAGGGAAACAACCCAGACCGCCAGCUAAGGUCCCAAAGUCAUGGUUAAGUGGGAAACGAUGUGGGAAGGCCCAGACAGCCAGGAUGUUGGCUUAGAAGCAGCCAUCAUUUAAAGAAAGCGUAAUAGCUCACUGGUCGAGUCGGCCUGCGCGGAAGAUGUAACGGGGCUAAACCAUGCACCGAAGCUGCGGCAGCGAC